AGCUGAAGCAAACAUCCUUCUCUAGACUCUGCUGGGCAGAAGUGCAAAUGGGAGGCACUUGUGUGCAAUUAUGACCAAGCUACAACUCUUCUUAUGACAGCCUCAGAGUCCCAUCAGGAUUACAGCAUGGGGCUGCUAUGUGAUUUUAUGUUUAUUUAUAUGCAUAGGACUUGAUUUAAGUACAGCAGCUCAGCAGCAAAACUACCAUUGAUUUAUAGUGUGGGCAAGAGGUCGCAGUGAGAUACACUCUGUGACAUGUGGAUUUGCAGCCUAAACAGAAAGUAGAAGGAAGGGAGCUGAUCUGUAUGGUUGCAGUUAGCUUUGAUGCUGGAGAAAAUGAGCUAUAAAUUAUGCUUCUGGCUGAUGGAGAUGGGCUCUGAGGCUCCAUGGAUGCAGACCUUCAUGAGACAACUGUUCAGAAGACCUAAAAAUAAACACUCAAGUUCAAAUCCUGAAGUUCUUUGCUUUCUUCUUGCCUUGCUCAAAGAGAUCUCCAGGGCAUCUGUGCUGCUCCAGCAUACAUGAUGAAUAACAAUCUGAAUGAUGAAGAAGAUAAGCAGGAAAUAUUUCCACAUCAGAGAAAAUGUCUGACUUGUUAGACUGUCAUUUAAAGAAAUUUCCAUAUAGAAAACAAAUUUUCACAGGGCAGAACUGCACUCAGCAAUGCGGUCUGUAUUCUGCAGAAUGUUCUCUUCACAUCAGCUACAGUGGGGAGCCUGGGGAAAAGCACUGGUUCCUCUUUUAAUAUACUGAAAAUAUUUCUUGAACGUUGCUUCAACCAUUAUUGAAACUGCAACUGUUUCUCCACCCCUCCCUGCAUGUGCUCUCUUUCCCCAAAACUGGGCUGAGCAGUUGAGGAGUGGAGUUAUUAGAGCCUUUAGGAAAUAAAUAAAUAAAUAAAGCAAACCACCACCAAAAAAAAAAAAAAAAGGCCAGAAAUGGGCCUUUGCACUUGCCAAAUCAAAAGGGAAGAUUCAUAGCAAAAUAAGUGGCAUGUCAGAGGAGCAAGAUCUAGUAUGCUGCAGGUGUUAAACACUACUUCUCUCCUGAAGCAGUAUUAUGUGAUAGACACAAUGUCAAGGAGGAGGUUACUGAAAGUUUACAGAGAACCACAUAACCUGGAGAAUGUCCUUUUAGUUCCUGUCAUCCUUGACAAGCACUUUCAUCUCACUGCUCAGCAUCCCUGCUCCUGCAGGAAUGCCUGUCUCUUUUCUUUCAUAUUGAGACAUGCAAACAAGGGAAGGGAAAUUUUUCCUGUUGUAUACACGUUAUGUGAGAAGGGGAAAACCAUACCGGAGAUUGAUUUUGGAGAGCAGAGUCACUCAGUCAGCUCAUGCCUCCCCCACCCAAUUCCUCUAUUGCUGCUGCAGCUGCUUGCUGCUGUGAGCAGGCAGUAGGUUCGUGUGCAGGUGCUCUCCUAGUAACGCAGGUGAUGCUUCUGGCCAUUUACUGUUUAAUUUUGCAGUUUGGGCUUUGCUUGAGCUUGUAACAGAAGUUAUUAACCAAUUGUGUUAUCAGUGUCACCAAGAGUUUCCAGCCUCAUGCAAUAAUCUAUCAUAAAGGCAGACUGCUACCAACCCAACACAAAAUAAAGACCCUCAGGUUGCUGAAAGUAAUUGAUAUAAGCUGUGACUGUGGGCAAGGGGAAUUCUUGCAAAGGAGUGUCAGACUCCUCUGCAGCUCACAUAUGAUAUGGCAUUGAAAUGACUACUUUAGUAAACCACAGAUAGGGGAGCUGCAAAUGUCCCAAAGCUUUUUUCUGCUCCAGAAUCAGGGUGAGCAGGUGGCCAGUGGCCUCUGGUUCAGGCGCAAUAUUUUCGCUGACCCCUAGGAGGGGCAUGUACAUGCGCCAGGUCCCUGCUACUGGAGCAAACUUCGGGCUUGCUCUCUUAUUCACUCUCUCUUCUGUGUGAGUGGAAAAUGAAGAAAACAUUGAAAAAACAACCAUGGCAUUAACACUUGAUACGUUAUGAGGAUCAUCACAGUUGCUUUGGCCUUGUCCCCAUCAUCCGUACCAAUGAAGCAGAGUGAAGGUGGCACAUUCCCAGCCAUGGAGAGACUGCUCUGUGUUCAGGGUGACUGCAGGACAGGAGCGAGGCCUGCAUGGCUGAGAAAAAAAAAAAUGUUCCAGCUCUGCUGCAGAUCUCGGAGAGAGAGGCUGCUCUCUGAAUUCCCUUUUGAGAGAGGAACCUUGUGAUCUCACUCUUUUGUAAAGUAAAUCUUCGUCAGAUUAAAUAUGAAGAUCCCUAUCAGAAGGCACUUGGCUUUGACAAGCCUGACAGAGUCCUAUGUAUCCUAUGGUAAUGGCUGGCAUUGAAAUGAAAAGGACUUGGAUAAUGAAUAAAGAAUAUUUUAGUAGCAUGACUCAUAAGUAAUACAAAGGCAUCUCUGGCAAUGUCUGUACUAAUUACAGACCAGUUGCUAUGUUGUUACAAUCAUGGAUAUUAAGUGUGUGGGAUGCUGAAAUGUGUGGGCAUUCUGCUAAGCUUGAUCUCAGUUCCCUGCAACUAAAAUCCUGUCUGUCCCAGCUGGAAAGUGGGCAAUGUAUGUAGGUGCCUAAAUCCGGGCUGAUGGUGACUAAAUGUGUUUCUUUUUUGUUGUUUGUUUGUUCCUGUCAGUCACAAACUUUCUGAGCUGUCAGAAAAUGUGAAGGUGAUUACAUACAGUCGAAUUUAACAGCUGACAGUCCUGUUGCAGGUUGGUGCUCUGGGUUCUUACCUCAUUGCACAACACUGCCACCAUGCAGCAUUUCCAGAUCGUUUUGGUCAAAGGGUGAGAGAAGCAACAUUUACUAGCCAUGUUCUCUUGGCUCUAGGCAGGCAGAUGUUUGUUUCACUUCCAGGGUUUCAGAGCAUGAGAUAACAUGGGCCGUUGUUUGUGGCUUUGAAACACAGACUCGGGUUCAAAAGGCAGGUAGUAAAUCUUGGAUGGGCAACUUGAAGCUGCUGGAUGGGAAUGAGUGCAAUGGGACAGCUUGCUGAGUGGCUGCCUCUCUAAAGGAUGGGCUUCCUAGUGUGGUUAGAGAGGGAUGGGCUUGUGCAGUGAGAUGUCAAAGUGACUCAAACUUGCAAUUUAGUGAACUCAGAUCCAGGUGUGGAAUUUGUUCCAGUCUCCAUUUCAAUGGUAAAUGAACUGGAAAAUUACCCAAGCUCAAUUUUCUCUUUCCUUCAAGGUUCUCUCUUCCUAGGUCUGGGUGAUUAUUUCCCUGAGUGUCAUCUUCCCUUGCCCAUUCCUGAUCUCUCUGUCAUUCAGACUUGGAGAGUUUCUUCCUCCCUCUUCUGAAAAUGAGGGACUCUCUGUUCAUUUUCCAAAUGCUUUAGGGAUGUGAAACAAAAUAUAUGAAUGCACAGAAUAGUGCUCAAAAGCUGUCCUGUCUUGACAAUACUAUGGGAGUCUUAGAGGUGAAGAUUUUUGUACUUAAGUGGUGUGCAGUGAGGAAGGCGGUCCCUGUGCUGGGAAACCUGUGCACAGAAAAUACAUCUAUGGCUAUUAACUAUCCGUGGCUACCAUAAGAUAAUGUUUUAAAAUCAUCUGAAGCAUGCCAGAAAGCUAAAAGCUUGCAGACUACAUCAGGUAAGGAGAAUAAAAGAUGUAUGUAUGAUUUGGGGAAAUGGGAGGAAGGGAGGUUUUGUUUUUGGAUUAAUGUCUUCAGUAACAGAGCACAGAGACAGGAAAGAAAAUUCCUGUUGUACUGUGACCACCUUCUCUAAUCACACUAAUGGGGCUGUAAUGAAAAUAACAUUUAGCCUGUCAUUACUCCCCAUGUGAUGCUCCCCUAGAUUCCCUACUUUGUUGCCAACAUUCAGGCUAACAAAACCAGGGAUAUUUUUCAAACAUCUCGGUUGUAAUAAAGAGAACAAGCUGCCAGCAGACUUCGCUAGAAUGCAUUUGCUUUGGCAUCAACUCUCACAUGCUGUAUGGUACAGGGUGCCAGCAGAGGCUGAGUUGGAGUAUACAUACAGGGCUCUGCAGGGCCCAACUUUGCUGCUGCCCAGGGACUGGCGAGGGGACAGGCCCUUAACAGCACAGCAUGCUUUGCUGGGUCUCUCCUGAAGCUCUUUAGCACUUUGUGUCUCUUUAAGCCAUCAGGGUACUGCAGAGAUUCACAGAUUAUGCUGUGAAUAAUUCACAAUGAAACUGAGAAUGUUCCCUCUUCUAAUAUCUGAUCACUGUUUGUGUAAAGUAUCCUUCUUAUUUGGCAGAUUCACUAUACCACAGUUUUCAAUGCACUUUUUUUUUUUUUUUUUUUUUUUUAAGUUAACUAGAACAUGCCAUCUUUGUAAACUCCACUGUGAGCACCAACAGCUUGUUAGAUCCUCUGCAGGUUGAAGCUGGCAUGUACUUCCUUCCUUCACUAUUUCCCCUUAAAGGUAGACAAGCUUAGGCCAACCACAAGAAUAUUUUCCUGCUAUUCUUACAAGCAUAUCUCAACUAUAUAGCCACAAAAUCACCAUAACUUUUGUUUUUGUUUUAGAAAAUGUAAUUUCCCAUAUACAAUGAAAUGAAUAUUUGCAACUAUGGCAAUUACACAGUCUAUUAUUUAGCUCCCGAAUGCAUGCACAAAGUAUACUGGAGAAUGCUUUGCCCAACACCUUAAUCAG
Molecule: long non-coding RNA, 4601 nt
Organism: Anas platyrhynchos (mallard)
Lineage: Eukaryota; Metazoa; Chordata; Aves; Anseriformes; Anatidae
Source: RefSeq, a predicted model, not a curated record